UACGAAGGGUGCAAACGUUGCUCGGAAUUAUUGGGCGUAAAGCGCACGUAGGCGGCAUUACAAGUCGGAUGUGAAAUCCCUCGGCUUAACCAAGGAAGUGCAUCCGAAACUGCAGUGCUUGAGUACUUAAGAGGAUCGCGGAAUUCCCGGUGUAGAGGUGAAAUUCGUAGAUAUCGGGAGGAACACCAGUGGCGAAGGCGGCGAUCUGGGAAGAUACUGACGCUGAGGUGCGAAAGCGUGGGGAGCAAACAGG
RNAcentral lists this ribosomal RNA (253 nucleotides) under uncultured bacterium. RNAcentral's name for it is "partial 16S ribosomal RNA". It matches the Rfam family "Bacterial small subunit ribosomal RNA", at positions 524 to 776 of the family's 1533-position model. The record is from RNAcentral.